RNAcentral lists this ribosomal RNA (253 nucleotides) under uncultured delta proteobacterium. RNAcentral describes it as "partial 16S ribosomal RNA". It matches the Rfam family "Bacterial small subunit ribosomal RNA", at positions 524 to 776 of the family's 1533-position model. Lineage: Bacteria; Deltaproteobacteria. The record is from RNAcentral. RNAcentral also lists the same sequence under 1 other name.
UACGGAGGGCGCAAGCGUUGUUCGGAAUCACUGGGCGUAAAGCGCGUGCAGGCGGCUUGGUAAGUCGGAUGUGAAAUCCCGGAGCUCAACUCCGGAACUGCACCCGAUACUGCCUCGCUAGAGUCCCGGAGAGGAUGGCGGAAUUUCCGGUGUAGAGGUGAAAUUCGUAGAUAUCGGAAGGAACACCAGCGGCGAAGGCGGCCAUCUGGACGGUGACUGACGCUCAGACGCGAAAGCGCGGGGAGCAAACAGG